AAUUUUUUAGUUUCAAUUUGAAUAUUAUCAAAACAACCAACUUUAUCGGUUUGAUUUAACGAAAUACAAUGAACCCACUCAAAUUAACCAAUGCAUAGAAUAUUAACAAACUUGAACCCAACUCAUUAUUAGACAAAUCAGGCUAUUACUCCAAGGAUUGAAAUCUUUUUUAAUUUUUUUAAAAGGAAAAAAAAAGAUUCAGAUCUAGUCUUAAAUCCAACCAGCCAAUUCCAAUUUAGUUAAAAACAAGAGAGAACAGUCCGGUACAUGUUGGUUCCGUACCCAAGCCGAACCAUGGCCUGCCUGCCCUUCGUUGUUGUUCCUAGCCGCAAUUCCUGACAGGUUAAACUUUAGACAUGUCCUGUCACAGUGUCAACUUCCGCGCUUGUUUUUCAAAUGAGCCAGCCGCCUAUGCCAUUUCAGUUUCAGGAAAAAGGAACUCUUGGUGGGGUUUUCCCCUUACAGCACAACAGACCAAAUCAAGUAUUCAUGUUUUGGUUUUCUACCUCUAAUUUAAGAAAUUUAAAAGCUCUUGCAGGAAAAAUGGAUCACAUUUCACCCUUCUUUCACAAGCGAGGCCCUCCCUUGGUGUCUUGAUUUUAGAAAGACACAGGCGAGCAUGCUAGGAAAUGGCCGAAUGAUACAGAACUACUUCAUUUGAUGAUCAAUGACUACAUACAUUCAGCCUAGACAAAAGAACAAGAAGAAAGUAAAAUUGCGAUUUUCAUCUUUUCUUUUCAAGGACAACAGGCAGUAGACUCCUGUGGCCGCCUGUGGGCUGCUGCAUCAGCCGGAAUUCCUAACCAACAAUAGCAGCUAGUUCAAAUUUUCCUGGAAAAAAAAGUUUCCCAAGUAAGAGAUCAAUUAUGGUUUGGAUUUGUUUAACAAAUGAAUUUAAGCUGAAAUCUGCCACCAAACUUGAUCUGCCAAAGUUCAACAUCAUCUCCUCUGUCAUACUCUCUAACAUAUUGUGGAAUUAAUGAAAGAUCAACACGUUUGCCCACAAAACAAGGGGAGGAUCCAUAUUCAAGGUCCUCAUAUUCUGCAUCAUUCGUUGCUAUAUUUUAAGUUAAAAUGAUAAUAUAAGUCAUAGGAAGAGAAUAUGGAACUGGAAACACACAUACCUUCCUCCUCUCUAAGAUAACCUAGGAAACGCGCAUAGCCAUUUGCGACAACAUCAAGAUCGUCAAGACUGAAGUUGUAUCGCUUUUCCAAUGCCAAGUAUAAAACCUAAAACACAAAAAAAUAACGCGCUCAUUUUCUUAUAAAAUGCUUGGGACUUCAUUGAUUCUUAUAGAACCAAUAAUAUAAAGAUACGAACAGGAGAGCAUCAGAAUCAAAACCAUCAGCACCAGGGAAAGUGGAAACUCGCAAAGAGUGACCUUUUUUUUUCACAUUGAAGAGCAACAUACCACAAUUUAUUUCAUAAUGAUUACAUGAAGAAGCAAUUUUUCCUUCUUCUUUUUUUCCAACAUUCUUCAUCCUUUCUUUUGGCUGCAAGGUCAGCUAUCAUUAAGCCGUUAUACUAAGCUAAUACAAACAUGAAUAUGUAUUCUCAUACUCGAAUACAAAAAGGAUCCAAUAACCUUUUUGAAACUCAUAUUCAAAUGGAUUUUUUAUAGAUCUAAACCUCAACUGUUUAGCAUAUUUCAAGCAGAAAGGAAUCACUCACUCCUACGUCACAAAUGCUAUUCCUUACUGCUAACCAUUUUACUUUAUUGAUGCAUACCUUUUUUGAACCCAAUGACAUUAGUCUCUCUAGAAUACUGAAAAGAGCAUCAGUAAGAUCAUCACUGUAUAUCACGUCAGCAGCUAGAAGCAAAGAAGCCCCCUGAGCUUCUUCAACUUCUGUGGGGGUCCAAGAAUAACUGGAUAUCAUAACAAAGAAAAUGUAAUUUUUGUUAUAAGAAAAGCAAUUUCAUUAAAAAAGUAAGUUGAUUACAAUAAGGAGGAUAAUACAUCUUCCUAAGGAGAAGAAAAUACAAAACCAAGCAACAUAACCAAACAAAUUAAAAACCAAACCCUCCAAUCUUGCUGCACUCCUAAACUCUGUUGGAUUUACUCUAUCUACACAAAUCCCACAAAUCCCUCACAUCCCGACUAGGAAUUUCAUGGGAUAUUCUUUUUCUCCUAUUCCUUCCAACUUGUUCUAACUUCCCAUAAUUGAUAGAAGAGACCAACUUCUGCAACCCUCUCCAACCUUCUUUCUUCCUACUAUAGGUGCAUGGAGGGUAACCUUAACUAUAGACCUAGGUUACAAGUUUAAGACCCAAAUUUUUUACAAGGUUUGCAGGUCUGAAUUAUCCUUCGUUAAAAUUUGAUUCUCUUUUAAUAUUUCUGGUGCUAUCAUAAAUAUUGGAACUAUCCUCCCUAGGCAUGGGGAGCAAUCCUUAGCAAGAGUGAAUAUCAUUUGUACAAGCAGCACCUUUUCUCUUCUUCUACAAAACUACAAUCAUUAAAACAGUACUCUUCAGUCAGAGGAAAAUCAGCAAAACCACACAACUCAUCAAUCCAUAAGAAAAUGUGAUAGAUUUCUCAAAUAUACAGACUGUAUUUAUAAAACUGAAAAGAAAAAUUCCAUUGGAAGCCACCAAGAUAUUUUAAGAGCUUGUUAAAAAGAAUAUCAACUAACAUUUUAC
This 2639-nucleotide unclassified non-coding RNA is filed under the name Hevea brasiliensis (rubber tree). Lineage: Eukaryota; Viridiplantae; Streptophyta; Magnoliopsida; Malpighiales; Euphorbiaceae. The record is from RNAcentral.